UUUAUCAUUUUGCCUCACGAAGU
RNAcentral lists this non-coding RNA (23 nucleotides) under Rattus norvegicus (Norway rat). Lineage: Eukaryota; Metazoa; Chordata; Mammalia; Rodentia; Muridae. The record is from RNAcentral.